AAACGCUCAAGUUGCCUUAUAUUUUGUUUAGCCCAUACAGAAAGAAAAAAUAAAGCACUUGUCCAGCUCACCACUCCCCUGGUGAGAAGAAUGUACAGAAGAAUAUCAUCAUCCAGUGUCAGUGGGCAAACUCGUCCAAGUAUAACUGACCUCCUGGCUCAUAGGCAAAGGUGCUGCUGCCUGAGAAACAGCAUCUGGAGGAGGGGCAACACUGCCCAGCAAAAGCACAAGAACAAACCCCUUCAGCAGCACUGACUGAAGCAGCAGAAUUUGGGAUGGCUUCUGUUUUAUAAUUUGGAAAUGCAGCAGGAGAAAAUGGAAAUCAAUAAUGGUGAAUAUUUCAGAAUCCUGAAAAAAACAUGCUGCAUUUAAUGGAGACUACAUUACACAGGGGUGCAUUUAUCCAUAUUGGUACCUUUUCCCCAUUCUCCUCUGAAAGUCUGCAGCAAUUUUACUUAUUUAAUGAGUUCCAGCAAGCCCCACAUUCAACAUUCAACAUCCAACAUCAGUGAACUGACCCAAAGUCCCUUAAGGAGCACAAGGCUUCCACUGACACCAGCACCCACAGAGGGGUUGAAAGAAGGAGUUAUUUCCAAAGAAACAGGCUGGUGAAAUUGGCACAUUUACAGUGUGAAAUACAGAAGGGCAUCAGAGAGUAGGAUAAACAUACCAGCAAACAGGAAGAAGGACAAAGGUCAUUGCCUAGCAUCUCUGAUAGCACUUUGGCCAGGAAAUAUUAUCAGAUCCUGACCACACAAAACCUGCAUCUGAGCUUAAAGCUUCAUUUAUUGGACAUAUUCACAAGAACCCUGACAACAGAUGAACUCAGAUUUCUACAUCUCUACAGACCCCAGCUCACCACCACCAAUUUGGUUGUGAUCUCAGCAGUUAACAAACAGCGGGAGCUACACAGAACGGUCACAUCAGCAUCUGUAGCUGUUGAGCUACAAUGGGGUGGGGGGAGGACUCAGGGAUAAUUACAGGGUGAAUGAGUUGUAUAAUACAGAGCACAUCCUCAGCAGUAUAUUGUGUCUUGAUUAUCAGCACAGAAGCUAGAGCUGCAUUGAAAUUAUUGUUUGAAGUUCAUUACCUUUAUUCUAACAGACUGAAUGCAAGAGGCAGGGAACAACCAAUCCUGGAGAUGAAAAAAAACAAUUGGUCAGGGGCUUGGAAAGAAUUGUAUUGUCACCAGGCUGGCAGCCAGACAGCUGGUGAUUUCUGUGUAGCACCGUUUCUAAGAAAUAGAAAGGUACAAGUGUCUUUGAACAGGCAAAAUUCCCAUCCUGAGCUCUUCAUUAGAGGGUUUAAUUCUAGGACGCUGCUCAUCUCCAGUUAUCACAAGGGAUCAGGGAAAGCAGAGAAAUCCCUGUGCAGAAGCAGAGAGACAGGCCAUCAGUAGAGCUACAAGUAACAAGCUUGGACUCUGGACAUGGUUUAAGCCACUGCAAUGGAACAAAAGUGUUUCUUCUCUGAAGUCCAACCCACGUACUACUAAAUCUCACAUGCUGCUUGCCUAGACCACAAAACUUGCGUGACUUCAUUGCAUUUAAAUCACACCCAAAUCUGCAGCUUGCAUUGAGUUCUUUGAGUAGGAGUCAGUACAGAAGAGGGAUGCAGCAUUAUUUCAAAUGCUGUUAAAGGACAGGAAUGCUGUAAAGAUUUGUUUAGACCAACCAGCUCAGAAAAGAGAAGUUGCCAUAGCAUAACAGAGUAUAUGUAUUGAAUAAGAACCUGAACUUAUUAUUCAAAACUAGUUGGAAGGUUUUCUUCAAAGCAAUUUGUAAUGGGGGGAAAAUAAUACACCAAAACCAGAUAUUGCAAGAUGAAAAACGUGGC
This 1836-nucleotide long non-coding RNA is filed under the name Coturnix japonica (Japanese quail). RNAcentral's name for it is "lncRNA (ENSCJPG00005014258.1)". The record is from RNAcentral. Lineage: Eukaryota; Metazoa; Chordata; Aves; Galliformes; Phasianidae.